This is a non-coding RNA of Gossypium hirsutum (cotton), 145 nucleotides long. NCBI's taxonomy places the organism in Eukaryota, Viridiplantae, Streptophyta, Magnoliopsida, Malvales, Malvaceae. The record is from Rfam.
UGUUAAAAAUUCCAUCUAUUUGUACUAUUAAAAAUUGACAUGGCUAACGAAAUAACCAUACAGUAACAAGUGACGUGCCACGUGUGCCUCAUAUAAGCAUAUAAAAGCUAACUUUUAAAAAUAGAAAUGGAUGAAAUUUUUAAUA